RNAcentral lists this ribosomal RNA (566 nucleotides) under uncultured bacterium. RNAcentral describes it as "partial 16S ribosomal RNA". It matches the Rfam family "Bacterial small subunit ribosomal RNA", at positions 355 to 914 of the family's 1533-position model. The record is from RNAcentral.
UGGGGAAUUUUGGGCAAUGGGGGAAACCCUGAUCCAGCCAUCCCGCGUGUGCGAUGAAGGCCUUCGGGUUGUAAAGCACUUUUGGCAGGAAAGAAACGUCGCGGGUUAAUACCCCGCGAAACUGACGGUACCUGCAGAAUAAGCACCGGCUAACUACGUGCCAGCAGCCGCGGUAAUACGUAGGGUGCAAGCGUUAAUCGGAAUUACUGGGCGUAAAGCGUGCGCAGGCGGUUCGGAAAGAAAGAUGUGAAAUCCCAGAGCUUAACUUUGGAACUGCAUUUUUAACUACCGGGCUAGAGUGUGUCGGAGGGAGGUGGAAUUCCGCGUGUAGCAGUGAAAUGCGUAGAUAUGCGGAGGAACACCGAUGGCGAAGGCAGCCUCCUGGGAUAACACUGACGCUCAUGCACGAAAGCGUGGGGAGCAAACAGGAUUAGAUACCCUGGUAGUCCACGCCCUAAACGAUGUCAACUAGCUGUUGGGGCCUUCGGGCCUUGGUAGCGCAGCUAACGCGUGAAGUUGACCGCCUGGGGAGUACGGUCGCAAGAUUAAAACUCAAAUGAAUUGAC